AAACUGGGAUUAGAUACCCCACUAUGCCUGGCCCUAAAUCUUGAUACUUACCCUACCGAAGUAUCCGCCAGAGAACUACGAGCACAAACGCUUAAAACUCUAAGGACUUGGCGGUGCCCUAAACCCACCUAGAGGAGCCUGUUCUGUAAUCGAUGAUCCACGAUCAACCCAACCGCCCCUUGCCAAGCACAGCCUACAUACCGCCGUCGCCAGCCCACCUCGAAUGAGAGCGCAACAGUGGGCGCAACAGCACCCCGCUAAUAAGACAGGUCAAGGUAUAGCCUAUGGGACGGAAGAAAUGGGCUACAUUCCCUAUGCAUAGGGCAACACGGAAAGAAGUAUGAAACUGCUUCUAGAAGGAGGAUUUAGCAGUAAAGCGGGACAAUAAAGCUCGCUUUAAGCCGGCCCUAGGGCACGUACACACCGCCCGUCACCCUC
This 438-nucleotide ribosomal RNA is filed under the name Anas platyrhynchos (mallard). RNAcentral describes it as "partial 12S ribosomal RNA". It matches the Rfam family "Bacterial small subunit ribosomal RNA", at positions 769 to 1404 of the family's 1533-position model. The record is from RNAcentral. Lineage: Eukaryota; Metazoa; Chordata; Aves; Anseriformes; Anatidae.